GCCUGGGUAGCUCAAUCGGUAGAGCGUGUGACUCUUAUUCCUAUCUCAGGAUAUGAGAUCAUCUCAAGGUCGCGGGUUCGAGCCCCGCCUCGGGCU
Transfer RNA from Pseudogymnoascus pannorum, 96 nucleotides. It matches the Rfam family "tRNA". Rfam says of the family: Transfer RNA (tRNA) molecules are approximately 80 nucleotides in length. Their secondary structure includes four short double-helical elements and three loops (D, anti-codon, and T loops). Lineage: Eukaryota; Fungi; Ascomycota; Leotiomycetes; Thelebolales; Thelebolaceae. The record is from Rfam.